This 1500-nucleotide ribosomal RNA is filed under the name Borrelia miyamotoi. Its description in RNAcentral is "bacterial SSU rRNA". It matches the Rfam family "Bacterial small subunit ribosomal RNA". Lineage: Bacteria; Pseudomonadati; Spirochaetota; Spirochaetia; Spirochaetales; Borreliaceae. The record is from RNAcentral.
GCUGGCAGGUCGUCUUAAGCAUGCAAGUCAGACGGAAUGUAGUAAUACAUUCAGUGGCGAACGGGUGAGUAACGCGUGGAUAAUCUACCUACGAGAUGGGGAUAACUAUUAGAAAUAGUAGCUAAUACCGAAUAAAGUCAAUUAAGAUGUUAGUUGAUGAAAGGAAGCCUUUAAAGCUUCGCUUGUAGAUGAGUCUGCGUCUUAUUAGCUAGUUGGUGGGAUAAGAGCCUACCAAGGCUAUGAUAAGUAACCGGCCUGAGAGGGUGAUCGGUCACACUGGAACUGAGAUACGGUCCAGACUCCUACGGGAGGCAGCAGCUAAGAAUCUUCCGCAAUGGGCGAAAGCCUGACGGAGCGACACUGCGUGAACGAAGAAGGUCGAAAGAUUGUAAAGUUCUUUUAUAAGUGAGGAAUAAGCUUUGUAGGAAAUGACAAAGCGAUGACGUUAAUUUAUGAAUAAGCCCCGGCUAAUUACGUGCCAGCAGCCGCGGUAAUACGUAAGGGGCGAGCGUUGUUCGGGAUCAUUGGGCGUAAAGGGUGAGUAGGCGGAUAUGCAAGUCUAUGUGUAAAAUACCACAGCUCAACUGUGGAACUAUGCUGGAAACUGCAUGACUAGAGUCUGAUAGGGGAAGUUAGAAUUCCUGGUGUAAGGGUGGAAUCUGUUGAUAUCAGGAAGAAUACCAGAGGCGAAGGCGAACUUCUAGGUCAAGACUGACGCUGAGUCACGAAAGCGUAGGGAGCAAACAGGAUUAGAUACCCUGGUAGUCUACGCUGUAAACGAUGCACACUUGGUGUUAAUCGAAAGGUUAGUACCGAAGCUAACGUGUUAAGUGUGCCGCCUGGGGAGUAUGUUCGCAAGAAUGAAACUCAAAGGAAUUGACGGGGGCCCGCACAAGCGGUGGAGCAUGUGGUUUAAUUCGAUGAUACGCGAGGAACCUUACCAGGGCUUGACAUAUACAGGAUAUAGUUAGAGAUAACUAUUCCCCGUUUGGGGUCUGUAUACAGGUGCUGCAUGGUUGUCGUCAGCUCGUGCCGUGAGGUGUUGGGUUAAGUCCCGCAACGAGCGCAACCCUUGUUGUCUGUUACCAGCAUGUAAAGAUGGGGACUCAGACGAGACUGCCGGUGAUAAGCCGGAGGAAGGUGAGGAUGACGUCAAAUCAUCAUGGCCCUUAUGUCCUGGGCUACACACGUGCUACAAUGGCCUGUACAAAGCGAUGCGAAACAGUGAUGUGAAGCAAAACGCAGAAAGCAGGUCUCAGUCCAGAUUGAAGUCUGAAACUCGGCUUCAUGAAGUUGGAAUCGCUAGUAAUCGUAUAUCAGAAUGAUACGGUGAAUACGUUCUCGGGCCUUGUACACACCGCCCGUCACACCACCCGAGUUGAAGAUACCCGAAGCUAUUAUUCUAACCCGCAAGGGAGGAAGGUAUCUAAGGUAUGUUUAGUGAGGGGGGUGAAGUCGUAACAAGGUAGCCGUACUGGAAAGUGUGGUGGAUCACCUCUA